UUGGUUUUAAACCGACAUUAAAGAUUCCCUUGAAUUCCUCACACUCUUUAUUUUUCCCCAUUUUUUUUUUAAUUUCCGUCUUCACUCCCCCCAUUUUCUUUUUCCUCUCAUUCUCACACUUUCACUCACCACAACCCAUGCGAAACCCACGAAUGCAGGCAUUCUUCAUCUUCAGCAGCUUUUCAGACCCAUACCUCUGAUGGCUUGUCUUUUCUAUCUCUGUUAGCUCGUCCUCUUGUCCUUUCUAUCUCCAUUGUCAACUCCUUCCAACGCGAGCUUCGUACCAGCUCCGUCAAGAUCUGAGAGAUCGACUCUUUCCAGCAUCGUCGAGCUUUAUUUCAGGUUUGUUCCAGAUCUGGAAGUUGUUCUCUUCACAUAUUUCAAGUUUAUUUCAGGUCAAACAAAAUGUUGAAGAAGAAAUUGAGAGAAAAGCUAGCAGAAUCGUUGAUUUCAUCAGUCGUUGGAAAAGACUCCAACGGUGAUGUUUCCGGUGAACCGGACACAGAAUCUCGGCGACAAUCCCUCAAAGAGCUGUUAGGCACUGCUAGUCGCCAUGGACCCAGAUUUUCUAAGCGAGAGAAAUGAAGAGAAUCGCUCAUUUUGACAGCUUUGGAUGGGAAUAAAGAUGAGAAGAAGGAAGAUGGGAAUUGAGGAUUGGGAAAGAUGAAGAGAGAGAUUGAAUGACAUUGAUGAAUUGGCAGGUGGAAAAAACACAUUAUAAUAUAGGCAGGUGGAAAAAACCCAUUAUAAUAGGUGCAAGUUUGACGUGUAAGGCUAAAUUUUGAUUCUUGGAGAUUUGGAAGGAAGAUAGGAAGAUUGCAUUAGACAUGUUUUAAGAAGGUUGAUAAGUGGAGAAGGUGCACCCAACACAAAAAGGACUUCAUAACAACAUUAAUAACAAGUACAAGUUAAUAUUUAUAAGAUGCUUAUCUUCAAAGUCUAUUUGUUCUAAAGUUUUGGAUUAGAUUUAGUGUUGGAAUGCUAUGACUAUCCUGCAGUUAUGGUAGUCAUAGCUUAGUUGUUUAUGACUUCUAUUGAGUGGUUUAUGGUAGUAGAACUUCUUAGGCAACCUUUGGUAGUUUAUAUUUAUGCAUUAUUUGUCUAAAUGAAUCCGGUUACACUAUGGUAGUUGUGGGUUAUUCAUGCAUUAUUGGUUAGGUUAAUUCUUCAUUAUCAUCGUCGAAUCUUUUGUUAUCUCUUGUUUAACCAUUUAUUAUGCUUAUUUGUCAAUUUGAAUCUAAUUCGUCCUUGGAAUCUUGUUUGGAUAAUCUAGGAUUGACCCUCGAUAGCAUCUUUUAGUUGGAGAUGUUUUUUGUGGUUUCAUUUGAUUAAAGUCUUGUAUCCGUUUAGUGUGCUUUUUUUAGUUGCUUGAAGUUUUGGUGUUGAUUACCACAUAUAGGUUCAAGAUUGUAUGUGACUUGGGAAUCCCUGAGGUCUAAUCCCUUUUGUUUUUUCCCCAUUUCAAUUAACCAUAAAAUAGUAUUUAUAUCGUGAUUUUAAUUGAUCAUAAGCUGAUUAGUGCUUGAUUAUGGUAAGUGAGGAGACAUAUACCUGUUACCUCCUUGGUCAUCAACUGGUCUAUCACUGAGGCAAGUACCCAAAACCUCAUAGCUUGUCAUCUUUCCUUGAUUCCAACUUUAUCUAUUCACUUUUUCUUUUAGUACUUAUUGAGUUGUUGUAACUUUGAGUAUUAGUCUGAGAUCUGUUCAAUAUUUUUCUAAAAAGAUCUUUGUAUAUCAUCUUUAUGCGAUUCAAAUGGUGGAUGAUUUGUGAUAUGUUUCAAUCUAUUAGGUAUUUUGUUCAUUGUUAGCUUGUUUUUUCUUGUUAAAUAUGCCAUUCAUUUUGUGUUUUGUAUUGUAAAGCUUUAUUUGAUAGAUGAUUGUGGACUUAUUCAACUUAACAGGCUUAGAUUGAGUUUGGCAUGAUUUGUAGAAUAGUAAAAACCGCUUUUCUGAAAGUAUUUAUAGAAAGAGUCUAACUCUAAGGAUACGAGUCUCGAAAUAUAUCUCGAAAUUAAUCUUUAGAGUUCUACUUCCUUAUUUGAUAUGUGGUUGUUAAGAGUUCUCAUUUCUAAUGCUAACUACUUGUGUUUGUUGGCUUUUGAAAUCACUUAUUUAUGUAGAUUUUGUGGUUUAUUGUGAUAUUUGUUUAGAUUGAUGAAAUUUUGAACUUUGCUGAGUUUUUGUUUUUGGCUUUUCAUUUCAUUGAUAAGAACUGAGUCCAUGAAUCUGGAGGGUAUAAGAUCAAAUGUCCAUGUGACAACUUUUGAGACUUGAAGUCAAGUGAGUAAUCAUAUCUGAGUUUUUGUAAAUCAUUGUUGUUUGUGUUGUUUGUUUUGUUGAGAGAAAAUUAUUGUUUGAAUAUUGUUGGAAGUGCAUUUCUAUGAACAAGUGUUAAAGUAAAAAAAUUUUGUAUUGUUGUGGUAGUGUAGUCAUGUUGCCGAAAUUUUUUUAAAACAUAAGAGUUAUAAAGUUAGUUGUAGGUUAAAAUAUGGUAAUGUUCCUUAGUUUAGCAUUGAAAUUUGGGAUAAUUACAAUGACUAUUGUGCAGCUGGGGUUGUUGUUUAUGGGUUGAGUUCAUUUCUUUCGUUAUUUAUAAAUUUUUUAUAUUAAAGCAACUUAUAUUUAUUAGUUUAUACCUCUCAUAUGACAUCGCUCGCAUGAGUACAGGGAGGUUUUGAGUAGAGGGCAUAACAAACUCAUCCAUAGAAUAGAGAAAUGAAUAGCAUGUUUUGCACUCAUUCCUUUUGAUUUUUUGAGAUAGUAAUGACACUCCAAAGUAGACAACCAACUCUCUCAAUCUUUAGUUAUUUUUUUUUUUGUAUUUGUUGAAAGUUAAGUUGUAUAUACUUGCAAUUAAGAUUUUAUUUUGGGAUUUUUUUUAAUACAUAAGCAGCCAACUACUGCCUUGUAAGUAUAAAUUUUGUUAUUCUCUUUGGGAGCUAACUAUUAUUUGUACUUUGUAAGCAAGACUUAGAUUUAAAUUUUUGUGUUUGUUGAGAUCUUAAUAUAUAAAAACAAUUCUUGU
This is a non-coding RNA of Benincasa hispida (wax gourd), 3027 nucleotides long. Lineage: Eukaryota; Viridiplantae; Streptophyta; Magnoliopsida; Cucurbitales; Cucurbitaceae. The record is from RefSeq and is a predicted model, not a curated record.